UACGUAGGGGGCAAGCGUUAUCCGGAAUUACUGGGUGUAAAGGGUGAGUAGGCGGUAAGAUAAGUCAUAUGUGAAAGCCCAAGGCUCAACCUUGGGAUUGCAUAAGAAACUGUUUUACUAGAGUACAGGAGAGGUAAGUGGAAUUCCUAGUGUAGCGGUGAAAUGCGUAGAUAUUAGGAAGAACACCAGUGGCGAAGGCGACUUACUGGACUGAAACUGACGCUGAGUCACGAAAGCGUGGGGAGCAAACAGG
RNAcentral lists this ribosomal RNA (253 nucleotides) under uncultured bacterium. RNAcentral describes it as "partial 16S ribosomal RNA". It matches the Rfam family "Bacterial small subunit ribosomal RNA", at positions 524 to 776 of the family's 1533-position model. The record is from RNAcentral.